RNAcentral lists this long non-coding RNA (226 nucleotides) under Ananas comosus (pineapple). RNAcentral's name for it is "long non-coding RNA (ACOM_LNC013052)". The record is from RNAcentral. Lineage: Eukaryota; Viridiplantae; Streptophyta; Magnoliopsida; Poales; Bromeliaceae.
ACAAGUUUAAUUUUUUAUACUUUGACAAUAGGCACAGAAUUGAAGAUUAAUGAGUUAAGUUGGAUGAGUCCAGAAAAUUGAGUGGAGCUACAGUCUAUAAUAGACUUAACGGCAAGAGACCUAAUAAUUGACCUAAUGUCCAGGUCGAUUGAGUCAGAUCGAAGCUCAUAAGUGUUGUGACUGAGCCCUUCUUAUCGACACGUACUUUUGGGAUAGUUGAUUAGCG